UGUCUCAGAUCUGGCAGGGCCAGCAAGGA
RNAcentral lists this non-coding RNA (29 nucleotides) under Rattus norvegicus (Norway rat). Lineage: Eukaryota; Metazoa; Chordata; Mammalia; Rodentia; Muridae. The record is from RNAcentral.